Unclassified non-coding RNA from Macaca fascicularis (crab-eating macaque), 148 nucleotides. It matches the Rfam family "Metazoan signal recognition particle RNA". Rfam says of the family: The signal recognition particle (SRP) is a universally conserved ribonucleoprotein. It is involved in the co-translational targeting of proteins to membranes. The record is from Ensembl. NCBI's taxonomy places the organism in Eukaryota, Metazoa, Chordata, Mammalia, Primates, Cercopithecidae.
GCCAGGUGUAGUGGCGCACACCUGUAAUCCCAGCUACAUGGGAGGCUGAGGCAGGAGAAUUGCUUGAACCCAGGAGGUGGAGGUUGCAGUGAGCUCAGGUCGUGCCACUGCACUCCAGCCUGGGUGACAGAGUGAGACUCCGUCUCAA